GGCUCAGGAUGAACGCUAGCGACAGGCCUAACACAUGCAAGUCGAGGGGCAGCACAAGGAGCAAUCUGAGGUGGCGACCGGCGCACGGGUGAGUAACACGUAUGCAACCUGCCUGUAAGCGGGGAAUAACCCGUUGAAAGACGGACUAAUACCGCAUAAUACUAAAUUACUGCAUGGUAAUUUAUUUAAACAUUUAUGGCUUACAGAUGGGCAUGCGCAUGAUUAGCUAGUUGGAGAGGUAACGGCUCCCCAAGGCAACGAUCAUUAGGGGUUCUGAGAGGAAGGUCCCCCCACACUGGUACUGAGACACGGACCAGACUCCUACGGGAGGCAGCAGUGAGGAAUAUUGGUCAAUGGACGAGAGUCUGAACCAGCCAAGUCGCGUGCAGGAAGAAUUGUCCUAUGGAUUGUAAACUGCUUUUGCAGGGGAAUAAAGUGCAUCACGUGUGAUGUUUUGUAUGUACUCUGCGAAUAAGGAUCGGCUAACUCCGUGCCAGCCGCAGC
This 504-nucleotide ribosomal RNA is filed under the name uncultured bacterium. RNAcentral's name for it is "bacterial SSU rRNA". It matches the Rfam family "Bacterial small subunit ribosomal RNA", at positions 21 to 518 of the family's 1533-position model. The record is from RNAcentral.